RNAcentral lists this unclassified non-coding RNA (277 nucleotides) under Hevea brasiliensis (rubber tree). Lineage: Eukaryota; Viridiplantae; Streptophyta; Magnoliopsida; Malpighiales; Euphorbiaceae. The record is from RNAcentral.
AAAACCAGCAAUAUGGCCUUCAUAUAUCAAUCAAACAAAAAGAUUAGGAACAAAACCAACCUCAUUUAGAGGCGAGAGCAGAUAUAUAACAGAUGCACAAUCACGCUUGUGUAGGCAUAUGCACUAAGAAAAAUAGGAGCAUGGAUGUAAACAAAAUCAUUCUAGGUUACAAAAUGAUACAAACAGAAUCAGUGGAAUAAGCAUAAUUUCCCACCUUCAAAAUGUUAAAAUUUGUCGCAAAUAAAAGAUGACCCAUAUGGUAAUCACAAUCUGUAAA